RNAcentral lists this unclassified non-coding RNA (573 nucleotides) under Enterobacter cloacae. RNAcentral describes it as "partial may contain 16S ribosomal RNA, 16S-23S ribosomal RNA intergenic spacer, and 23S ribosomal RNA". The stretch from base 417 to 524 matches the Rfam family "Salmonella enterica Typhi npcRNA 44". The record is from RNAcentral. Lineage: Bacteria; Pseudomonadati; Pseudomonadota; Gammaproteobacteria; Enterobacterales; Enterobacteriaceae.
AGGGGCCACGGUGGUUCCCUCCUUACCUUAAGAACCUGCCUUUGUAGUGCUCACACACAUUGUCUGAUGAAAAUAACAGUAAAAGGCUCUGCCGGCUUGUUGCUAAUGUGGUGCCCCCGUCCCCCUGAUAACGGUGACGUCGGUGUUUCACGGCCACUCGGGGCUUUCUCCUCCCCUGGGAGACACCUCUUGGUGGUUCUUGAGUGAAACCUGCUGCCUUUCUAUCUCCUCCUCGUCUUCAACUGACGUUUGAUAUAUUUGUUCUUUAAAAAUCUGGAUCUAACUAUUAAUUGGAACAACACCUGUCUUGUGUGUGUUCGAGUCUAUCCAAUUUCCCCCAUUUGAUGGUGAAUCAAAACAAACAUCUUCGGGAUGUUAAGCUAAGAAACUUAACAUGCGGAUGCCUUGCCAUUGCUCUUUAAAAAUCUGGAUCAAAAUGAAAAUUGAAACCACACACAUUUUAUGUGUGUUCGAGUCUCUCUAAUUUUCGCAAUUUGAUGAAGAAUCGAAAGAAACAUCUUCGGGUUGUGAGGUUAAGUGACUAAGCGUACACGGUGGAUGCCUUGGCACUUU